This 530-nucleotide ribosomal RNA is filed under the name uncultured bacterium. RNAcentral's name for it is "bacterial SSU rRNA". It matches the Rfam family "Bacterial small subunit ribosomal RNA", at positions 23 to 573 of the family's 1533-position model. The record is from RNAcentral.
CUCAGGAUUAACGCUGGCGGCGUGCCUUAUCAAUGCGAGUCGAACGGUACGAACACUUCGGUGUCACGACCGUGGCGUCCGGGUGAGUAACACGUGGGUGAUCUGCCUUGCAGUGGGGGAUAACCCCGGGAAACCGGGGACAAUACCGCAUACGAUCGCCGGAAUGCGUUCCGGCGAUGAAAGAUUUAUCGCUGCAAGAGGAGCCCGCGGUCGAUUAGCUUGUUGGCGGGGUAAAGGCCCACCAAGGCUGAGAUCGAUAGCUGGUCUGAGAGGAUGAGCAGCCACACUGGGACUGAAACAUGGUCCUGAGCCCUACGGGGUUUAGCAUGAAGGAAUCUUGCGCAAUGGGGGAAACCCUGACGCAGCAACGCCGCGUGGACGAUGAAGGCUCUUGGGUCGUAAAGUCCUUUUCCGAGUGAUGAUGAUGACAGUAGCCUCGGGAAUAAGUCACGGCCAACUACGUGCCAGCAGCCGCGGCAAUACGUAAGUGGCGAGCGUUAUCCGGAAUUACUGGGCGUAAAGCGCACGUA